RNAcentral lists this ribosomal RNA (253 nucleotides) under uncultured bacterium. RNAcentral's name for it is "partial 16S ribosomal RNA". It matches the Rfam family "Bacterial small subunit ribosomal RNA", at positions 524 to 776 of the family's 1533-position model. The record is from RNAcentral.
CACGGGGGGAGCAAGCGUUGUUCGGAAUCACUGGGCGUAAAGGGCGUGUAGGCGGUCAGGUAAGUGGGAUGUGAAAUGCCUCGGCUCACCCGAGGCACUGCAUUCCAAACUGCUUGGCUUGAGUAUGGGAGAGGAUGAGGGAAUUCCUGGUGUAGCGGUGAAAUGCGUAGAUAUCUGGAGGAACACCGGUGGCGAAGGCGGCAUCCUGGACCGGUAUUGACGCUGAGGCGCGAAAGCUAGGGGAGCAAACGGG